CAGCAGCCGCGGUAAUACGGAGGGUGCAAGCGUUACUCGGAAUUACUGGGCGUAAAGCGUGCGUAGGUGGUGGUUUAAGUCCGUUGUGAAAGCCCUGGGCUCAACCUGGGAAUUGCAGUGGAUACUGGGUCACUAGAGUGUGGUAGAGGAUAGUGGAAUUUCCGGUGUAGCAGUGAAAUGCGUAGAGAUCGGAAGGAACAUCUGUGGCGAAGGCGACUAUCUGGGCCAACACUGACACUGAGGCACGAAAGCGUGGGGAGCAAACAGGAUUAGAUACCCCAGUAGUCCCUGUCUCUUAUAC
This 301-nucleotide ribosomal RNA is filed under the name uncultured bacterium. RNAcentral describes it as "partial 16S ribosomal RNA". It matches the Rfam family "Bacterial small subunit ribosomal RNA", at positions 509 to 807 of the family's 1533-position model. The record is from RNAcentral.